Molecule: signal recognition particle RNA, 303 nt
Filed under: Sus scrofa (pig)
Lineage: Eukaryota; Metazoa; Chordata; Mammalia; Artiodactyla; Suidae
Description: Metazoan signal recognition particle RNA (multiple genes)
Rfam family: Metazoan signal recognition particle RNA
About the family: The signal recognition particle (SRP) is a universally conserved ribonucleoprotein.
Source: RNAcentral
GCCGUAUGCGGUGGUGCGCGCCUGUAGUCCCAGCUACUCGGGAGGCUGAGGCUGGAGGAUAGCUUGAGCCCAGGAGUUCUGGGCUGCAGUGCACUUUGGAGAUAGGGUGUCCGCACUAAGUUUGGCAGCAAUACGGUGACCCUCUGGGAGCAGAGGACCACCAGGUUGGCAAAGGAGGAGUGAACCGGCCCAGAUCAGAAACGGAGCAGGUCAAAACUCCCGUGCUGAUAAGGAAGAAAGAAAAGAAAGACUAGGACCAAAGACUCUUUCAGAGACAAUGGCUAGAAACUAGAUUACUGUUAU